UACUCCCCAGGCGAAGUGCUUAUUGUGUUAACUGCGGCACAGAAGGGGUCGAUACCCUCUACACCUAGCACUCAUCGUUUACGGCGUGGACUACCAGGGUAUCUAAUCCUGUUUGCUCCCCACGCUUUCGCGCCUCAGCGUCAGUUACAGUCCAGAAAGUCGCCUUCGCCACUGGUGUUCCUCCACAUAUCUACGCAUUUCACCGCUACACGUGGAAUUCCACUUUCCUCUCCUGUCCUCAAGAUGCCCAGUUUCCGAUGCACUCUCAGGGUUGAGCCCUGAUCUUUCACACCGGACUUAAACAUCCGCCUACGCGCCCUUUACGCCCAAUAAUUCCGGACAACGCUUGCCCCCUACGUAUUACCGCGGCUGCUGGCACGUAGUUAGCCGGGGCUUCCUCCUUGGGUACCGUCAUGUCCCUUCAAUAUUCUCAAAGAGACCGUUCUUCCCCAAAGACAGUACUUUACAAUCCGAAGACCUUCAUCAUACACGCGGCGUUGCUCCGUCAGACUUUCGUCCA
Molecule: ribosomal RNA, 520 nt
Filed under: uncultured bacterium
Lineage: Bacteria
Description: partial 16S rRNA
Source: RNAcentral